UACGAAGGGUGCAAACGUUGCUCGGAAUUAUUGGGCGUAAAGCGCACGUAGGCGGCUAUCUAAGUCGGAUGUGAAAUCCCCGGGCUUAACCUGGGAAUGGCAUUUGGGACUGCAAGGCUCGAGUGCGGCAGAGGAGACUGGAAUUCCUGGUGUAGCAGUGAAAUGCGUAGAUAUCAGGAGGAACACCGAUGGCGAAGGCAGGUCUCUGGGCUGACACUGACGCUCAUGCACGAAAGCGUGGGGAGCAAACAGG
Molecule: ribosomal RNA, 253 nt
Filed under: uncultured bacterium
Lineage: Bacteria
Description: partial 16S ribosomal RNA
Rfam family: Bacterial small subunit ribosomal RNA
Source: RNAcentral